This 162-nucleotide ribosomal RNA is filed under the name uncultured bacterium. RNAcentral's name for it is "partial 16S ribosomal RNA". It matches the Rfam family "Bacterial small subunit ribosomal RNA", at positions 365 to 524 of the family's 1533-position model. The record is from RNAcentral.
UGGAAUGAGGGGACCUGAUCAGCCUGCCGCGUGUGUGAAGAAGGCCUUUUGGUUGUAAAGCACUUUAAGCGAGGAGGAGGCUACCGAGAUUAAUACUCUUGGAUAGUGGACGUUACUCGCAGAAUAAGCACCGGCUAACUCUGUGCCAGCAGGCGCGGUAAU